GGCACAACCAUUAAGACCCUCAUCUAUAGUGGACUGGAACAAAGCACAGCAAGUUUUAAUAAAAGAAAUCUGAGGCCUGGAAUUCCAUGUCUACCAUUCCUCACAGCAAACCUGUGACUGUAACACAGAUUGAUGAAAGAUUCUGCAGGACGACAAAGGUUAAAGAUGUAGACCCGGAGCUAGAAGCCAGCACUGACACUGAUGGAGUGGACUGCGAUGAGAAUGCCCACAUUAUUGUCCUAUCCUCUGAUAACCAAUGUAAUAUGAAAACCGACUACAGAAGAAAGGAACAAAUUAAAUCCAUUAAUCAAGCAUAUCUCUGCUAAACAGUUGUUCGAAACUGAUGAACAAAUGAAAAAUUUACUGUUUGUUUUCAUGCUUGCAAGGAUUGGGGAAGAAAAUUAAUUAUAAGGUACUGGCCACACUAUCAGUAAAGUUUUUCUUGAGGAAACUAUUGCUUUGUCAAAGGACAAAUGAACCUCAUUAGGGAGAUUAGUUUCAGCUGGUAGUUUUGCAUUAGUACAAACUAAUAAUACACACUUCAAAAGAUACCCUGAGUAAGAUUAUGAAAAUUGAAAUCCAUUUGUUACUUCUUAAUUUACUAACUGUUAGAAAAUGACCACUCUAUUACUUAUCAUGAAACCAGAAGGAAAUCAAACACUGCUCACCUUUCAACUAAGUGCCUGAAAGAGAACUGUUGCAGUGUGGGCUUUGUGAGUGCUGCGAUGAUGAACUUACGCAUACAGGGGUUAUAACUUGGCCACGGCAUUUUACUCUUAGGUUGAAGCAUGUCAUGCAGAGCUCCAUGCCAAACGCAAUUUUUGAUAAGCUUCUUUGAAAUCCUUUUCUUUUCAAAUGUUUUAAAUGAAUUGGACAAAUAGCAAA
Long non-coding RNA from Homo sapiens (human), 885 nucleotides. Ensembl annotates it as long intergenic non-protein coding RNA 2027. Lineage: Eukaryota; Metazoa; Chordata; Mammalia; Primates; Hominidae. The record is from Ensembl.